AUGGACAGUUCUUCAGGACAAACCUGGUCCUGCAUUGUGUUCCUUCCCAGGAUCCAGCUGAGCUUUUCUGUUUCCCCAGGCAUUCCUACAUGGCUAGUACCUCAUUUCCAUAUUUUCAGCUCUCCGGAUUGCAGUAGGAGGAUGACAGAGAGGACAGACAGAGGACAGACAGACUUCCUACAGAUUCACAGCAAAGGGUCAAAGCGCAAUUUGCAGGAAAAAGAAAUCCAACUGGAUAUAAGGAAGGAAAAAUGCACCAUGAGGGUAACUGAACAGAGGAAGAGAAACAGCUAUUUUAGGAAUCUGUGUAAUGAGGUGAAACCACUGAUCAAUAGUUUCAAGGCAGGUGUAUGAAAGCUUGAUCAACCCUCAUUGACACCCUGUCUUGAAUUGCUAUUUGUACUAAAUGGGUAGAAGUGCUGGGUUAAUGGUUGGACUCAAUGAUCUUAGAGGUCCUUUCCAACCUAAGUGAUUCCAUGAUUCUGAACCUGAUCAUAUUAUAACAUAUCUGAUCACCAAGCCAUCAGACAAAAGCCUGACCAAGGAGCUCUGCAGCUUCUUGAAGCCAUCUACAGCUGAAGCAACACUUUAUGUGUGUUUGCUAAACAACAUCUCUAGGUAAUUUUCUCCCUGGUUGCAGAGGACUUUCCCAUCACAGCCUCUCUCCAUGCUGCCUUUGCCCUGUGGUCCAUCAGAGGCCAUCCCAGAGGACAUGACCACAACCUCUGAUGCACGUGGAAAUGGGGAGAGAACAGACAGUCCCCCAAUCCCAACAAAUGAAUGAACACUGAGGGAAUCCCAGAUCUGCAGCUAGAAUGGUUUUCCUGGGAAAAGGGAAGAAUUUCACCCCUGUGCUUUGAGGGAACAGUAUUGGGACUGCUCAGACGUGGAAAAGGCAUCGCAUGGAACUAGAAAAUAUCCAGCUAUCUGCACUGACUUUCUCCCAGCAUGUGAACUCGUGGUGGAUUUGUGUUCAGUAAAGAAAACCAAAACUAAGUUUACCUGCUAAAGCCUGGGAGAGUGGAGAACCACUCUGAAGGCAGAGAGAUUGGGGAUGUAAAAUUCAUGAGCACAUAUUGCUGCACACUCCUCUGACCAACACUUCUCAACCUAUUGCAAAGAUAGAAAGUACUUUGGACCUGAUUAGCCUAAGAGAUCAGAUAAUCAGGAUGCCUUGGCAAGAACAAACAGAUCUUUGAAGACUGCAAGAUGAUUGGAUCAGCCUGGUGACAGGGAAGAAGAUUCAAUCAAGUAGAAGAGAUGUUGCAAAAUGUGUAAGUUUGUUUGAAUGAUGCUUAACCCAAUCAUUAUAGUAAAAAAUUACUAGCCUUCCUAGCAUGGUAUAUAAGCAUACGUAGCCCACAGUAAAAUUGGAUUCUGAUCACCACUCAGUUGUCCCUGUCUGUCCUCAUCGCCGAUAUCAGCUCAGGAUGUGUUUUCCUAGUCUUGCUCCCUGAAGAGCAACAGCAUCUAUUAAUGAUCCUAAAUGGCUGAAGAGACUAGGACAUGUGCUUGUCUCCUAGUGAAUGACAAAACCAGAUGACCCAUGAAUGAAAAAUAAGAUGGUGACAUGCUCUGAGCAACAUUAUUAGAUGAUAAAGAGAUACUGUCAUGGCAGGAUGGAUUGUCCUGCAAUAAGAAAAAUCAGUCCCAGGAGUGAUAGACUUAGGUUGCAGACUCAGGUUUUGAGCAACCCUGAUACGGGCUUAAAUAAAUCACGUCAAGAAAUCA
RNAcentral lists this long non-coding RNA (1731 nucleotides) under Cyanistes caeruleus (blue tit). Its description in RNAcentral is "lncRNA (ENSCCEG00000010395.1)". The record is from RNAcentral. Lineage: Eukaryota; Metazoa; Chordata; Aves; Passeriformes; Paridae.